Molecule: ribosomal RNA, 468 nt
Filed under: uncultured bacterium
Lineage: Bacteria
Description: partial 16S ribosomal RNA
Rfam family: Bacterial small subunit ribosomal RNA
Source: RNAcentral
GACGAACGCUGGCGGCGUGCUUAACACAUGCAAGUCGAACGGAAAGGCCCUGCUUUUGUGGGGUGCUCGGGUGGCGAACGGGUGAGUAACACGUGUGUAACCUGCCCUCGACUUUGGGAUAACUUCAUGAAACUGGGGCUAAUACCGGGUAGGAUCUCCUGCUGCAUGGUGGGGGUGGGAAAGUUUCGGCGGUUGGGGAUGGACUCGCGGCUUAUCAGAUUGUUGGUGGGGUAGUGGCUUACCAAGGCUUUGACGGGUAGCCGGCCUGAGAGGGUUACCGGCCACAUUGCGACUGAGAUACGGCCCAGACUCCUACGGGACGCAGCAGUGGGGAAUAUUGCACAAUGGGCUGGAGCCUGAUGCAGCAACGCCGCGUGCGGGAAGACAUCAUUGGGGUUGUAAACCGAUUUCGCCUGUGACGAAGCGUGAGUGACGGUAAUGGGUAAAGAAGCCCCGGCUAACUACGUG